Salmo salar (Atlantic salmon) is the source of this 2374-nucleotide non-coding RNA. Lineage: Eukaryota; Metazoa; Chordata; Actinopteri; Salmoniformes; Salmonidae. The record is from RefSeq and is a predicted model, not a curated record.
CUACCUCCUCUCUCUCUCUCUACCUCUCUCUCUCUACCUCUCUCCUACCUCUCUCUCUCUACCUCUCUCUACCUCUCUCUCUCUACCUCUCUCUCUCUCUCUACCUCUUCAUCCUCCUCUCCCUUCACCCCUCUCUCCCGGUCCCAUUCCUCUCUCCCUAUUCUGACCUAAUCACAGAUCAUUAGUUGCCAUGACAUUGUGAUUGUUUUUAUAUUAAAUGACUGCUAUCAUAGUUAUAUCAGAUUGUUAUCAGCUGGAUGGUGAAGCCACUAUUUUAUGGACCACAUAUUGAUUGCGACCCAAAUGCCACCCUGUUUUCUAUAUAGUGUACUUGUUUGUCACAUGUUCUCUCACCAGAAGAGUGGUUAGGUCCCAAAUGAGACCCUAUUCCUUAUAUAGUGCACUACUGUUGACCAGAGCCCUAUUCCCUAUAUAGUGCACUUCUUUAGACCAGAGCCCUAUUCCCUAUAUAGUGCACUACUGUUGACCAGAGCCCUAUUCUCUAUAUAUAGUACACUACUUUUGACCAGAGCCCUAUUCCCUAUAUAGUACACUGCUUUAGACCAGAGCCCUAUUCUCUAUAUAUAGUACACUACUUUUGACCAGAGCCCUAUUCCCUAUAUAGUACACUACUUUAGACCAGAGCCCUAUUCCCUAUAUAGUACACUGCUUUAGACCAGAGCCCUAUUCUCUAUAUAUAGUACACUACUGUUGACUAGGGCCCUAUUCCCUAUAUAGUACACUACUGUUGACCAGAGCCCUAUGGGGAAUAGGGGGCCAAUUGGGACGCAGUCUGUAUGUGAAACUGGUCAGUUUUUAAAUGUAUGUUUCUGGGGUUCUUAUUGGUAGUCUGAUUCUCUGAUCAUGUCUGUGGUUGUUAUGGUUACCGUCUGGUCCAGUUCAUACAGACUGUUUUGGUUGUUGUUUCUUUGUUCUGUCCGCUGUUUAUCUCUCUCUCGUUUUGUGGUUUAACUGUCUGUGGUCAGGUUCUGACCAAUCAGAUGGCUCUGUGGUCAGGUUCUGACCAAUCAGAUGGCUCUGUGGUCAGGUUCUGGCCAAUCAGAUGGCUCUGUGGUCAGGUUCUGGCCAAUCAGAUGCCUCUGUGGUCAGGUUCUGACCAAUCAGAUGCCUCUGUGGUCAGGUUCUGACCAAUCAGAUGGCUCUGUGGUCAGGUUCUGGCCAAUCAGAUGGCUCUGUGGUCAGGUUCUGGCCAAUCAGAUGGCUCUGUGGUCAGGUUCUGGCCAAUCAGAUGGCUCUGUGGUCAGGUUCUGGCCAAUCAGAUGGCUCUGUGGUCAGGUUCUGGCCAAUCAGAUGCCUCUGUGGUGGUGUUGUGACUACUGCUGUCUCAGUACUCCUGGAGGACCCCUGGUGUUUCUGAUAGAUUAACUUCCGUCCAGCCCGGGAUUCAAUCAAAGGCGCAUUGUGGAUUAUUAGCACACCAAAUUAGACUGUUCAAUCUAAUGUAGACUUCAGCUGACAUCCGCAGCGUUUACCAUGAAUACCAUCUCCACGAAGGUCAGAGAAAUGACCUGCUUAAAGGUGCAUUGUGGACAGUGCGCCUUUGGUUGAAUCCCAGCCACGGUCUCAUUCAGACCUGGGACACCAAAUCAUGUAUCAAAUACAUGUCCCAAAAUGGCACCCUAUUCCCUACAUAGUGCACUCCUUUUGACCAGAAUAGCACCCUAUUCCCGAUAUAGUGCACUACAUUUGACCAGAGCCCUAAAAGUAGUCACAGUAUAGGAAAUAGGGAGCAAUUUUGGACAUCAUCAGUGCUUCAAUCCCAAAUGGCUCACUAUGUAGUCUACUACCUUUGACCAGAGGCCAUAGGGGAAUAGGAGGCCAUAGGGGAAUAGGAGGCCAUAGGGGAAUAGGAGGCCAUAGGGGAAUAGGAGGCCAUAGGGGAAUAGGAAGCAUUUGGGAGGCCAUAGGGGAAUAGGAGGCCAUAGGGGAAUAGGAGGCAUUUGGGAGGCCAUAGGGGAAUAGGAGGCCAUAGGGGAAUAGGAGGCCAUAUGGGAAUAGGAGGCCAUAGGGGAAUAGGAGGCAUUUGGGAGGCCAUAGGGGAAUAGGAGGCCAUAGGGGAAUAGUAGGCAUUUGGGAGGCCAUAGGGGAAUAGGAGGCCAUAGGGGAAUAGGAGGCCAUAGGGGAAUAGGAGGCCAUUCAGUGUCUGUCAGCCCUCCAGGUCUAGUUUGACCUUACAUCUCCCUGGUUAAAUGGAACUGGAUUCGUCACUCACUGCUUCUCAAUGUUUUAUGGAGUGUAUGUAUAUUAUUAUAUGAUCACAUUUUAAAACAACUGAUGUGUUGACCUCUAAGUACCCUGUGAACUGUUUGUGUUGAGAAAAAAAUUAAAAUAAAUAGAUUUAUGUAAAAUUUGA